Molecule: ribosomal RNA, 1080 nt
Filed under: Cordyceps pruinosa
Lineage: Eukaryota; Fungi; Ascomycota; Sordariomycetes; Hypocreales; Cordycipitaceae
Description: SSU rRNA
Rfam family: Eukaryotic small subunit ribosomal RNA
Source: RNAcentral
CUUGUCUCAAAGAUUAAGCCAUGCAUGUCUAAGUAUAAGCAAUUAUACAGCGAAACUGCGAAUGGCUCAUUAUAUAAGUUAUCGUUUAUUUGAUAGUACCUUACUACUUGGAUAACCGUGGUAAUUCUAGAGCUAAUACAUGCUAAAAAUCCCGACUUCGGAAGGGAUGUAUUUAUUAGAUUAAAAACCAAUGCCCUCUGGGCUCCUUGGUGAUUCAUGAUAACUCUUCGAAUCGCACGGCCUUGCGCCGGCGAUGGUUCAUUCAAAUUUCUUCCCUAUCAACUUUCGAUGUUUGGGUCUUGGCCAAACAUGGUCGCAACGGGUAACGGAGGGUUAGGGCUCGACCCCGGAGAAGGAGCCUGAGAAACGGCUACUACAUCCAAGGAAGGCAGCAGGCGCGCAAAUUACCCAAUCCCGAUUCGGGGAGGUAGUGACAAUAAAUACUGAUACAGGGCUCUUUUGGGUCUUGUAAUUGGAAUGAGUACAAUUUAAAUCCCUUAACGAGGAACAAUUGGAGGGCAAGUCUGGUGCCAGCAGCCGCGGUAAUUCCAGCUCCAAUAGCGUAUAUUAAAGUUGUUGUGGUUAAAAAGCUCGUAGUUGAACCUUGGGCCUGGCUGGCCGGUCCGCCUCACCGCGUGUACUGGUCCGGCCGGGCCUUUCCCUCUGUGGAACCCCAUGCCCUUCACUGGGUGUGGCGGGGAAACAGGACUUUUACUUUGAAAAAAUUAGAGUGCUCCAGGCAGGCCUAUGCUCGAAUACAUUAGCAUGGAAUAAUGAAAUAGGACGCGUGGUUCUAUUUUGUUGGUUUCUAGGACCGCCGUAAUGAUUAAUAGGGACAGUCGGGGGCAUCAGUAUUCAAUUGUCAGAGGUGAAAUUCUUGGAUUUAUUGAAGACUAACUACUGCGAAAGCAUUUGCCAAGGAUGUUUUCAUUAAUCAGGAACGAAAGUUAGGGGAUCGAAGACGAUCAGAUACCGUCGUAGUCUUAACCAUAAACUAUGCCGACUAGGGAUCGGACGAUGUUAUUUUUUGACGCGUUCGGCACCUUACGAGAAAUCAAAGUGCUUGGGCUCCAGGGGGAG